Molecule: small RNA, 26 nt
Filed under: Bombyx mori (domestic silkworm)
Lineage: Eukaryota; Metazoa; Arthropoda; Insecta; Lepidoptera; Bombycidae
Description: ovarian small RNA-27905
Source: RNAcentral
UCCUGAGAUGUUAGGGUCCUGACGUC